AACAACUGCAUUGGUUCCUCAAAAAAUUCCAGAAUAGGACAAGGCUAAGAAGCAGUCAGUGGGCUGAACCAGCUGUGACAGAAUGGCCUUUUUACUAACAGCAGCCUUGGUUUUCCAGACUUUACUGGGAAAUGCUGCUGAAGAAGGAUGGGAAUCAUAUCUCAAUUUUUCCGCUUGGAACCACACAUUUUAUUUCUAUGACAAUUACACAGAUUAUUAUUAUCCAGACGCCACAGUUGAUUAUGGUGAAUUCGAAACUUCAUCUGCAAAGAAUUUGACAGAGUCUGCAGGAUCAUCACUCCAGGGCCAUCUUCCCUUCUUCUUUGUCCUUCUCCAUCUUUUAUGUUUUUUGCUACAACGAUUCACACUUCUUUUGUAGAAGAUGUGAACAGCUUUGCUUUGAAUUAGAACAUUCCUCAAGGAGGAAAACAAAGAACUCUGUCACACAUGUAAAUUACUUCCCCUACAAUGAAUCAGUCAUCUUUUUUUAGUGCCGUUUAUGUAUUUAUGUAGAAACACAAACAAAUAUAACAGCGAUGUUUCCUCAUAAGUAGUAUAAAUUGCAUAAAUGUUGACUAGCUGUUUGUAUCUUCUGUAUUUCUUCCUCUCACAUUUCCUCACUAUCAUUCACUGGGUCCUAUUGUAAAUAUGAAAUAUGUGCCAACAAAAUGAAGCACUGGCUGAUCACUCCAGAUCUUUUAGUGCUAUCUGGUGUUCUGACAUCACUGGAUCAGCUGCUGCUAUCUCCCUGGAAUGCAAGCCCUUGGAUCUGCUCUUGAAUAGUUUCAGCUGCAUCCAGAAAAAGUCUGCCUUAUAGCAGUUGAAACAAACAAGAUAUAAAGGGGACUAUGGAGCAAGUGUACUUACCAGUUCACCUCCCCUAAAACAAUCACCAUUACAUUUAAAAUGGAUGUUGCCCGCUGGCCAUGUUUAUGUCUGUGUUCCUGUUCACUCUAGACAGAGUUUCAGGUCUCUGGCUUCCAAUGACCAUAGAUCCUGCAAACUCUCUCACAUGAGUAGUCCUGUAAGUAGGUAUGUCAGAAAGAGAGGGGGCUCAGAAACAGAUGACAAAUGAUUAGAUACUUCUGUAUGAGGAGAGACUGAAAAAAGUGGGACGGCUUUGGAGAGGAGAAGAAUAAGAAAGGACAUGAUUGAGACAUACAAAAUAAAAAAUGGUGGAGAAUCUCAUUCAGGCACUCCCAUGUACCCUCUCACAUAGCAUAAGAUCAAGGGAACAUUCAAGUGAAACUGAAAUGCAACAACUAUGUAACUGACAAAAGACAAUGCGUUCUUACACAAGGCCUAAUUAACAUGUGGAACUCAGUGCUGCAAGCUCUCUCAAGAGAUUCUCUCGUGUGUUGAUUGGCUGUCUGCUCCAACCCUUCCCACACUCCUCCCUUAGUCUCUCCAGACCCUGACUCCAGAAAAGAGGUUUGGGUCAAUAGGGCCUCACUGGUCAAUGACCUGGCCAUAAAUGGGGUAGAUGGAUGAAGAUUAAUUCAACCUCUUCCCCCUCCACCUAGGAUGCUGGGGUGGAGCCUCACUCAAGAGCUGCCCCUCAUUGCCUCUUUCUGACUCUCUUCUCAUCUGCUCUGUUCCCAUCACUCCUCUCUUUCCUUGUCUUUCCAUUUAGCUAAUCCCUGCUAAUUGAACACCCCCACUCUAAAACAAUAUUCAACUAAUUAACGCAAUGUUUCCCACAAUCACAUUGUUCAUACUGCUUCCAAGUUAUAUCCUUUCCCCCAGUUCUUAAUGUGUAAUGAAAGAGGUGCUGGGGCUCAAGCAAUUAGGUGCCAGGGCUCAAGCGAUAUUUUUACUUUCAUAACUGAUGUGGCAAGCCCAGAGGUGCUGGAGCUAUGAACUGCCAAGCCUAGAGGUGCCAGCGGGCUCAGCCCUGGCAAAAAUUAAGCACUGCUUUCCCCUAUCCCAUGUCUGUCUUGUCUAUUUAGUUUGUGAGCUCUUCAGGGCAGGGACUAUCUAUUACUUUGUGUUUGUACACAAUGGGACUCCAUUCUUGGCUGGUCCUUAGACUCUGCUGUAAUAAACAUGAUUAAUAAUAGUAUCACUGGGGUCAAGAGCUCAGUAGAGUUAAAAAAUGGAAAUGUGUUUGUAUAAUGAGGACAUCAACAGUUAUUUUACACAAAAUACUUUUUUGUUUGUUUGUUUUUAAAAGGAUAUAAAACCUCUUUCAGGCCAUAAACUCGCCACUAACAGACUGGAGUUGGGAAGAAAUUUCCCAUAUAGGAAGGUUAUUGCGUAACUGUCCAUAACAAUUUCUUGCUUCUUCCUUUGAAGCAUCUGAAACUGGUUACUGAUAGAGAUGGAAUACAAGUCUAGUCGGACUAUCAAUCGGAGCCAAUACGACAAUUCCUAUGCAAGUAAUGAUUUGCAGUAUUGGGCCCAUUUGUUUUAUUUCUAAUCAAGCAAAAAUAGUCUUGCCACAAUACAUAUCUGGCUUAUACAUCUGUGCGACAUAUGAAAAGAGGGGGUGUGGCGGGGUGAUGGCUCACCGGCGUGGCGCCUCCUGCUGGUUGUCCAUGGAAUUAGCUCUUUUCCAGCUCCCAAGCACCCUCUGCCAGCUGGUGUCUUGCCUGCCGCUGCCCCCGUAUGCUUUGCUUAGGGGUUCUGCCCACCACAGUACCCCCUCGCUCUGGGUCUCCCCUCCCCCUAUCCCCACCUUGCCUCAGUGGCUACUGCCAGUCUCCAUUUAGCCCCCGCUCACUGGGGC
Molecule: long non-coding RNA, 2728 nt
Organism: Mauremys mutica (yellowpond turtle)
Lineage: Eukaryota; Metazoa; Chordata; Testudines; Geoemydidae
Exons: 5
Source: RefSeq, a predicted model, not a curated record